This 326-nucleotide long non-coding RNA is filed under the name Elaeis guineensis (African oil palm). Its description in RNAcentral is "long non-coding RNA (EGUI_LNC013534)". The record is from RNAcentral. Lineage: Eukaryota; Viridiplantae; Streptophyta; Magnoliopsida; Arecales; Arecaceae.
CAAAUAUCGUAGAGAAUGCUCACGGAUCGCCUAUUGUCAAUCACCUAUCUCAUCUGUAGAAUGACAUCCAAGGCACAAGCACAUAUCUUCCUUCACAUGACCGAAGCCCUUCGACUAAUUUGGAUCUCUCCUCUGAUUGUCCAAGUAUCAUACCUGACCCUCAUCAUUGUACUCCAAGUGGAGUCAGGGUGUAGAAUAAACCUAAUAGCAUGCCAAGCAAUCAGAGCCUCCCAUCUAGCUACAAAGGACUGAGUCCCUAGACCACCCUCCCACUGAUGCUGACACACCACAUCCCAGGCCACCAGAUGCACACCCCUACCACCACC